CCUACGGGUGACAGCAGUGGGGAAUAUUGCGCAAUGGGGGCAACCCUGACGCAGCAACGCCGCGUGAUUGAAGAAGGCCUUCGGGUUGUAAAGAUCUUUUAUCAGGGACGAAAAAUGACGGUAGCUGAAGAAUAAGCUCCGACUAUAUACGUUCCAGCAGCCGCGGUAAUACGUAGGGAGCAAGCGUUAUCCGGAUUUACGGGGUGUAAAGGGCGUGGAGGCGGGCUUGUAAGUCAGAAGGGAAAUCUUGGGGCUUAACCCCCAAACUGCUUUUGAAACUGGGGGUCUUGAGUGAUGGAGAGGCAGGCGGAAUUCCUAGUGUAGCGGUGAAAUGCGUAGAUAUUGGGAGGAACACCAGUGGCGAAGGCGGCCUGCUGGACAUUAACUGACGCUGAGGCGCGAAAGCGUGGGGAGCAAACAGGAUUAGAUACCCUAGUAGUC
RNAcentral lists this ribosomal RNA (441 nucleotides) under uncultured bacterium. RNAcentral describes it as "partial 16S ribosomal RNA". It matches the Rfam family "Bacterial small subunit ribosomal RNA", at positions 338 to 795 of the family's 1533-position model. The record is from RNAcentral.